Telopea speciosissima is the source of this 162-nucleotide long non-coding RNA. RefSeq lists it as uncharacterized. The record is from RefSeq and is a predicted model, not a curated record. Lineage: Eukaryota; Viridiplantae; Streptophyta; Magnoliopsida; Proteales; Proteaceae. The transcript has 3 exons.
UUCUCAUCAGAAAAUUAGAGUUGUAAAGUCAUACCGAUCAAAUGCCAUCAAAAUUGUGUAUAUAUACAAGCACAAAUAACCUUAAUAAAAUUCUUCUGACCAGCUUCAUUGGAGUGAAUUUCAGAUUUUCCAACUCAGCAGGCCUAUGCUAAUACUCUUGUA